AUGACCGGUAACAUGUGGCAGAGGAUUGCCACUCCAUACAUACGAUAUCUCAAGCCUAGCCUUGCUCCUCCCCAUCACCACAUGUAUGAACAGCAAUAUUCUCUCAUGAACAUUGCGUCCAAAACCAUGUUCCAGAUGUGCAUCAUGGUGGCCUCCCUUCUCAUCGCCUCAGGGGAUGUUGCGGCUGCUAGACAACAACAUGCUCUAAUGAGAGGCUUCGUUUUGCUGCGGAUGCUUGUGAUAGCCAACCUCUGGAUAAUAUGCAGCGGCAGUGUUCAGAAACAAGUUCUCCUGCCAGGGUUCAGUGCCUCCGAAAAUGAUUACAUCCAUAAUAAUGCAAUUUUUCUGGUGUCCAAUGGCACUGUAUAUGGCUUGGGCUUUGUGUCCAGUAGUGCAUCAGCGAGCAACUCCUCCUAUCUUCUCUCAGUGGUGCACCUACCCUCCUAUACUGUCAUCUGGACUGCCAAUGCUAACUCUCCUGUUUCUAGUAUGGAUACCUUUGUGUUCGACAAGGAUGGUAAUGCCUACCUGUGGUCUCAAGGCUCCACCAUCUGGACUGCCAAUCUCUCCGGCAAGGGCGCCUCUAUUCGGCUGCUGGACUCUGGCAAUCUUAUAGUGCUCGGCAAAGACGGCUCUUCUCUUGUAUGGCAGAGUUUCAGCUAUCCAGCGAACACACUUGUGUCUGGCCAGAGCUUCACUGAUGGGAUGACACUUGUGAGGCAGUCCAGCACACACAACAUUAGUUAUACACUUGGGAUCACAUCAGGGGACAUGAGGUUGUACGCAGGCUUCCAGAACCCCCAACCUUACUGGUCUGCGCUGCAGGAUACAAGGUUGAUCGUGAACAUGGAUGGAGCCAUUUACUCUUCAAACCUCAGUUCAGCUUCGUGGUGCUUCUAUGAUAAAUCAGGGUCUCUUCUAUCAGAGCUUGUCAUUGCGCAGCAGGGUGAUGCCAAUGACACGUUGAUUGCUGUCCUCGGCGAGGAUGGAUCCCUUUCCUUCUACAUCCUACAGACUACCUAUGACACAAACACGACUGCUCUCCCAACCCCAAUCCCGGAGGACUCAUGUGACAUGCCAGCCGAGUGCAGCCCCUAUUCCGUUUGCAUUAGUGGAGCAGGAUGCCAGUGCCCGUCAGCACUUGGCACCUUUCCAAACUGCAACCCCGGUCUCAUAUCACCAUGUAACUCAAAAGAGGACUUUCAGCUAGCUCAAGUCGAUAGUGGAGUUGGGUAUAUUGGCACUAGGUUCACCCCGCCCUUGGCUAGAACAAACAUCACAGGAUGCAAGGACGCAUGCAUGAGCAAUUGCUCGUGCAUUGCCAUGUUCUUUGAGCAAACUUCAGGCAAUUGCUUCCUUUUCAACCAGAUCGGUAGUUUGCGCGAGAAAGAUAGAAGGGAACCUGCUUCUGUAUCUUUCAUCAAGGUAUCUAAAGUUGGGAGUGGCGGUGGGAGGCACACCGUCAUUACUGUUGUCAUUGUGGUCGUACUGUUGGUUGUCAUAGGGGUCCUUGUUUAUGUUGGCUUCAGCAUUUAUCGUCAUCGUUGGAGGCAACCUUCACCCUCACAAGAACAAGACGAUGGGUUUCUACAGACGAUAUCUGGAGCACCAAUGCGGUUUACUUACACGGAGCUCCGAGGUGCUACAAACAACUUCGCUGACAAGCUUGGUCAGGGAGGAUUUGGAUCCGUGUAUCUCGGAACACUCCCAGAUGGGAGUAGCAUUGCUGUAAAGAAGCCGGAGGGCCUAGGCCAAGGGGAGAAAGAAUUCCGCUCUGAGAUGACUACAAUUGGCAACAUCCACCAUGUCCAUCUAGUUAAACUCCGAGGCUUUUGUGUCGAGGGGGCACAAAGGCUUCUUGCGUACGAGUACAUGGCCAAGGGGUCUCUAAACAGGUGGAUUUUCAGUAGUACAGUGGAUGGUCCCCUUCUAGACUGGGAUACAAGGUUUCACAUUGCACUUGGAACAGCAAAGGGGCUGGCGUACCUCCAUCAGGACUGCGAGUCCAAGAUUAUACAUUGUGACAUCAAGCCUGAGAACGUUCUACUUGAUGACAACUUCCAUGCAAAGGUAGCUGACUUUGGGCUUGCCAAGCUGAUGAGCAGGGAGCAAAGCCAUGUUUUCACCAGGCUCAGAGGCACACGGGACUAUGUUGCGCCCGAGUGGAUCACUAACUACGCCAUCUCAGAUAAGAGCGACGUGUACAGCUACGGGAUAGUCCUGCUUGAGAUAAUCAGCGGAAGGAGGAGCUUCGACCCCUUGGAAGCCUCGGAGAAGGCCCAUUUCCCACCCUUCGCUUUCAAGAAGCUGGAGGAAGGCGAUCUUCGCAAUAUCGUCGAUGCCAAGUUGGCGUACGACGAUGGAGAUGGCCGGGUGGAGAUAGCUAUCAGGGUUGCUCUGUGGUGCGUUCAGCAGGAUUUCUCCCGGAGGCUUCCAAGGGGUCGAGAGUUGUCCAGAUGCUUGAAGGCGUCUGUGAUGUGCCACAGCCGCCGACGUCCUCGCAUGUUGUGGACCGGCUCCAUCCGAGUGCUUUCAAGCCGGCUGAUACUCUACUUUCAGCUGUGCAGCUGUCUAGUCCCAGAUGAUAUGCUGGAGUAG
Molecule: ribosomal RNA, 2598 nt
Filed under: Triticum aestivum (bread wheat)
Lineage: Eukaryota; Viridiplantae; Streptophyta; Magnoliopsida; Poales; Poaceae
Description: partial small subunit ribosomal RNA
Source: RNAcentral